UACGGAGGAUGCAAGCUUUAUCCGGAAUGAUUGGGCGUAAAGCGUCCGCAGGUGGCAAUGUAAGUCUGCUGUCAAAGCGUCUGGCUCAACCAGAUAAAGGCAGUGGAAACUACAUAGCUAGAGUAAGGUAGGGGUAGAGGGAAUUCCUGGUGUAGCGGUGAAAUGCGUAGAGAUCAGGAAGAACACCGGUGGCGAAAGCGCUCUGCUGGACCUUAACUGACACUGAGGGACGAAAGCUAGGGGAGCGAAUGGG
This 253-nucleotide ribosomal RNA is filed under the name uncultured bacterium. RNAcentral's name for it is "partial 16S ribosomal RNA". It matches the Rfam family "Bacterial small subunit ribosomal RNA", at positions 524 to 776 of the family's 1533-position model. The record is from RNAcentral.